UGUCAGUGAAAAGGUACAAGUGUCCAGUUAGAAAUGAAAAAGUUCUGGGAAUCUAAUCUACAGCAUGGUGACUAUAGUCAACAACACUACAUUGUGUACUGAAAGUUGCUAAGAGAGUAAAUCUUAAAUGUUCUCACCACGAAAAAGAAAUGGUAAUCAUACAAGGUAAUGGAACUGUUAAUUGAGGCUAUGGUAAUAAUCAUUUUGCAAUAUAUGUCAAAUCAAUACCUUGUACACCUUAAACUGACACAAUGUUAUAUGUCAAUUACAGCUCAGUAAAGCUGGAAAAACCCAAACAAAAUGAGUUUUCAAUUCCACUUUUUUGGGGGGAAGGCAGCAUCGCCUCCUAGUGGCUGUAUCAAGAAUGGCAACGUUGAUCAAUCUUCAGGACUGCGUAGCAUUAGGCCCCUGCAAGUCCCAGGUUCUCCAGGGAACCAGGAGGUCCUGCUUGAAGCCCUGCGUGCUGCUGCCCCCUAGUGCGUAUCUCUUAACUUAGACAAAAGACCCUGUGGACAGAGCAUCGUGUGAUGGGAACCGAAAUUACCCCUUCAAGCAAUAAGCACCGCCCUGUGCCAGCAAGACCCUGUGAUCGAUCCCAAGAUGAUGACCGAUCUGACCUUUACUGCCCACCUGCACAUACCCAGCAACUUUGUCUCACAUUUUCCUUAUAUAAACCUAGAAGUAUUUCCAGCACCUUGGACAGGCUGUGUGACAUUAGUCCACUGUUGUCCCAGUGCUGGCCUCACUGAAAUACAUUCCUUUCUUGUUUCACCACC
This is a long non-coding RNA of Felis catus (domestic cat), 776 nucleotides long. RefSeq lists it as uncharacterized. Lineage: Eukaryota; Metazoa; Chordata; Mammalia; Carnivora; Felidae. The record is from RefSeq and is a predicted model, not a curated record. The transcript is spliced from 2 exons.